GAUCUGCAGCCCUAAUCUACCCCCAACAUCGAAGAGGUCUACACCGAAACUUACCGCCGAGAUCGACAGCUCCUCCUUACCGCCAAGACUGACAGCUCCUCCUUCACCAAACUGUAACAACAGCUCUCUCACACCCAACCCAACCCCAGAUACACAACAAACCUGAUCGAGAAGAUCGUACGGACGAAGAUAUACAACAGCACCUAAUGGAAGGAGCAGUGCUUCGGUUUGCGGCGGAGACUCUGGUGGACAAGGCCAUGGAGCUCGACCACAUCGGCGGGACCUUUGGAGGUAAUCGAAAACACACACCGUUCAUUGAUGAAGAUGCUUCAGAUGCAACAGAAGAAGGAAAUUGUCAUCGAAUUCAUUAAGAACGACGACUACGAGUGAGUUUUUAUGUCUAAUUUAUUGGUUGACUAUUGUAAUUUGUGUAUUUACUUGCUUAUAUGGUUUGCCAAUUUGUUGGGUAGAAAUUGAGUUGAGGAAAAGGAUUGGAAAUUUGGGAUUAUGUGGUUUUGCUGAUAAUAGUGUGGUCUAGAGGUCAGUAUCUUGUAUAGAUAAAGCUCAGUGAUUUAAGUAGAACAUUACAGAAACAAGUUGAAAUGAGAGGAUUGGAAAUGUUUGGAUAUAGUGGAGUACAAAAGCACUGGUCUUGCUUACUAAUGUAUAGCUUCUUAUGCAUUAGAAAGAGGAAUUGGUGUGAUUUUAGUUUAGGAAAGUUUUAAUUAGGCUCUUACUUGCAUUUCAGAUAUGUCCAUGUGCUUGGUGCAUUUACUUGUGUAUUACAGGUAACGAUACUGAUGUUUACCAGUACCUAGAGCCUUUGUACAAUGAGAAGUAAAUUGGCUGAUGGACCUGGAAAGUAUUGCUUUCUUUGCUGUCCAAGAACACAACAAGCGACAGCAAGAUGGGUCGGAGUGCCAAUUCAUAGUCCCUGUAGAAGCUUUGCUGCUGUGAAGUUAUCAAAGGAUCAAGCACCAAAGAAGUGAGCUUUUAUGCCCCUCAUCAGAACCAAUUGAUUUACCCAUUUCCGGCUAAUGUUUAGUGUCUGUCUUAGAACUCUAUUUAUACAUAUUCAGUAUUGUAUUUAGCUAAUGACAUGUUUAGGAAGAAGAGGCUGGAUGAAGUGUGCCUUGAAAGGUAUGAACAAUAUAGCCAAACCUACGUACAGUCAUGGUUCUUACAAGGAUCGUAUAUACAAUUGAAUUACAGAACCCUCCUUCAAAUGUGAUACUCCCAUACAUUGUCUUGUACAAAAGCUAUUAUACAAUGUAGACCGGUGAUAGGAGUUAACUUAGUUAUUCAUGUUUGGUGGUGUAGGUGAAGUAGUAGUGGAUGCAAAGGCGGUCAACAAAGCUGAUACUCCAAAUUUGAUAAAUCUUUUGUAAAGAUUAUGGCUGAAAUCCCCAAAUCUUACUAACAUAAUGGAGACAGAUUUUAUGCUUGCAGGGAUCGUCAGAUGGACCUGACCAGUAUAUUCUUUCCAAUCUCUUGCAUUGCUCAUUUUCAUUCCCAUCAAAACUCUUACAUCAGAGGUUUCUUUUAAUGCCCCUUUCAGAUAUGUUGCAAUUAUGAAUGCAAUAUUUUCUGCACAGCGUUCAAUGGUAUGCAUUUGAUCCCUUUAUUAUUACUUAGUAAUCCUAUUUAAAAAGUUUAUUAGGUUGCAAAGCAUAUAUAAUUUUUAUUGUUUUUUACCAUAUACCUUUUUUAGUGUUUUACAACUGACUUGGCUCUGACAGCCAUUCUUAUGAAUUUUCUGAAAAUGAAGCAAGUAAUAACUUCUUUUUUAUCCACUGAUGUAAAGUAGUGACUUACUAUAAUGGAUGAUCUUUGAAUUUACUUUUAUAUCAGUGAAAUGAAUUUAAACCCAAAGAUGGUCAUAAUCGUCUGACCUUCCAUCCCAUGUGCCCGCCCCCAUCUCUCUAUCUCUGUCCCUCUCUGUGUGUUAUCAUUAGGUGUCUCACUUUGACGAAAUGAAAAUGUCAAUUUUGUUCUACUUUUUCAGAAAUCUAAACUUUGCCCUAAAGUUGUAAUAUGUUAUUGCCUAUAUUUAACUACUUUAUCUGUUACUAGCAACAUUCGAUUCUUGAAUUUGCAGCUCCGGAGCAGUCUAAUGUAUCAGUCAUUUGCUUCAUUUGCAGGUUCCUGUAGACUCUUGCUAUAUAGGCUCUCAUAACUCUGCCUUCCUACAGCAGGUAGAGAGGGUUUUUGUCUCUGUGAUAGAUUGUUGCAGAUUUUGAUAUGCGGUUAUGUCUAUUCUUAUGCUGGUUUUACUGAAUGCUUCUGAUUGAUGAGUAACAGGCUUCAUACAUUACUGGUGGUGUAUAUCUGAAGCCCCAACAACCAGAUGGACUGCUUCAAUAUCUUACGGUAGUUUAAGAACUUAAUUGGGUGAUGUGCAAUAUGUUAUUUUAACAUACUUUGCUUCAUACCUUCUGUUGAGUGAGGCCAAACAAAAUUUGCCGAAGCUGAGUAAGAAUUUUAACAAGUUUGAUUAACGAGGUUCAUCUGCUCAGUUAAGCCUCCAAAUAGUAAGCUUUAGGUUCUUAUAACAUCCUCUCGUUAUUGUUUUACAGAGAUCUCAGCUUCAACAAAUUGGAAGGAAGUAUUCCUGAUCUUAAAGAUCUUAAAUGUGCAACUAAUUUAGAAGAUAUACAUAAGUUGAUGCUUAUAUAUCAUGUAAUAGAGGACUCAGUUCUAGUGUCCUUAAAUCCAUUUUUUCUAGUAGUGAACCUUGGCUGGUCUUAGAAUUGUGAUUUUUGGUUGGUUAUAGAUGAUGAGUUUCAUAAUAUUUUUCAAUUUAUGAUAUUUGCUGCA
Molecule: long non-coding RNA, 2817 nt
Organism: Rosa rugosa (rugosa rose)
Lineage: Eukaryota; Viridiplantae; Streptophyta; Magnoliopsida; Rosales; Rosaceae
Exons: 2
Source: RefSeq, a predicted model, not a curated record